RNAcentral lists this long non-coding RNA (1406 nucleotides) under Podarcis lilfordi (Lilford's wall lizard). Lineage: Eukaryota; Metazoa; Chordata; Lepidosauria; Squamata; Lacertidae. The record is from RNAcentral.
GCCUGGGAACCAGAAGCCAAGAUCACACUGGAGCAUAUAUUCCAGCUGUGACCAUCCCACAGGACCACCCUUGGGGGGGGGGGAUAGGUGCUGUUGCCCUCUGCAAUGUGUGCUCAUCAUCUCUGCCAUUCAUUUAAAGCUGUGGGUGUUUGACCUGUGCAUCUCUUUUCAUGACGGUUAGCAGAGAGGAAGCCUCUCCCACAAUACUCACUACAGUUAUUUCCAGGGUGGCCUGGGUUUUACGCUGCCCCAUCCACCAAGGCUGAGAGACGUCAUCCAUGGGGGGGGGCCACCAGGUGGCGCAUUGGAAGAUGGCCGACAAUAACAUCUCUCCGACCCACACGAGGUAAUAAAGAGGCUGCUAUGGGAAGUAUGCAGUCUUCCUACCCCCCCAAGGAGAUGGGAGGGACAGCCUUGCCAGCGACGUCCAUAAUGCACCCCCGGAUUCGAAAGAAGGGGGUGCAGGACAUUUGGCAUCAGCCCUCGAUGGGUUCGGCGCUUCCUGACGCUGUCUCCAAUCAGUGACCUGGUUCGCUUCAGCUCGAAAAUAUAAUUGGAAAUAUAUAAUUGGAAUGAAGCUGAAGCUGAACAUCAAGCAAAGUUCGAGAGAUAAGGCUGGAGAUUAAUGCAUCUCUGUGUUUGGAGUGACAGGAGGAGACAAAUAAAUCAAGCGAUGUCCACCAUUACGAGACUGGUAUGUGCAGAGUGAAAAAAGAGGGGGGGUGGAGGAAAAAACUUUUAUUUUCUUUGCCUCAUGUGAGUAUUUAUAAACCUCCACCCCAGAGGGACUAAUCGUCGCCUUUUACUAAUCGCAAGCAAGAAUUUAAGAGCUGUGUGGAGUGAAUUAUUGAUUGAAGAGAGGACUGGUAAAUAUGGAGUGUGGAGGAAAAAUUCUAUGACGCAGUUUUUAAUGGCGUCUUGCUAAGACAGGCUUGUUGAAGAAAGACGAGGGGAGGAGGACCAGGGUCAUUGGAAUGUAAAUGAUGGAUUGAAUGUGAUAACCUGGCAGAGCCCCUUUGUGAUAUACGUGGCAAGCUUGGGAAAAUUAGUAGGACAGACCGAGGAUAAAUUUUUGAAGAAGGGGAGGAAUGGCGGCUGUCCUUAUGAGAUAUGACUUUUGGAGUGUGCAAAACCCACACAGAUGUUGUUUGUUCCUAACCUGCUUGUGAAGACUAUCAGAGAUUGCAAAGAAAGGAAUACCUGAUAACAACAAGAAGAUGAAGAAGUAAUAAAGAGACUAUCUGGACAGAUCUGGAUAGAACCGUUUGAUAAAAGCAGUAACAGAAGUGAUGUUUUGAUUCUCGUUCGGAGCUUGAUGUAAGUGUACCCCCAACAAAAUUUAAAAAUCUGGCUGUAUAAUUUGGAAGUAAUAUGAUUUGGAAAUAAUGUGAUUGGACUGGCCUGUU